AUGGCGAUUCAAGCUACCGGUGAAUUCAAAUAUGAUUAGAAAUGCGUUUAGGGUUGUUAUUGAUAUCGUUCAUCUACCGAUUCAUUGCUUCUUAUUCCAAUGUCAAUCCAUCACUAUCCCAAUCGAGAAGAAGUUGGAUACACAUCAGUAGACAAGACAGUUAAAUGUAAGCUUCAUACUGUUGUCAUGUACUAUACACACAUUGCUUAAACAUGCAAAACUAAUUUGGCGCCUUUCCAUCACUCUCCAGAAAAGGUUGUAUCAGUUAGAUUUUCAUUGAUUAAUCGAGGCUGAGGAAUGAAAAGAGCUUGAGUUUGAUAGUCCGAUGUUGUAUCACUAUGAUGAUUAAAGAACGAAACAAGGCAAAACCUGUUUGUUUCUUAAAUUGAUACAACUUCAAUGCAGUACAUAUAAAAGAGAUCUAUUUGUUUUUGUUUCAACCACGAUUGUUGUUAAGUAUGAUAG
This is a long non-coding RNA of Cynara cardunculus var. scolymus (artichoke), 465 nucleotides long. RefSeq lists it as uncharacterized. The record is from RefSeq and is a predicted model, not a curated record. The transcript has 4 exons. Lineage: Eukaryota; Viridiplantae; Streptophyta; Magnoliopsida; Asterales; Asteraceae.